This 72-nucleotide transfer RNA is filed under the name Stegodyphus mimosarum. It matches the Rfam family "tRNA". Rfam says of the family: Transfer RNA (tRNA) molecules are approximately 80 nucleotides in length. Their secondary structure includes four short double-helical elements and three loops (D, anti-codon, and T loops). Further hydrogen bonds mediate the characteristic L-shaped molecular structure. tRNAs have two regions of fundamental functional importance: the anti-codon, which is responsible for specific mRNA codon recognition, and the 3' end, to which the tRNAs corresponding amino acid is attached (by aminoacyl-tRNA synthetases). tRNAs cope with the degeneracy of the genetic code in two manners: having more than one tRNA (with a specific anti-codon) for a particular amino acid; and 'wobble' base-pairing, i.e. permitting non-standard base-pairing at the 3rd anti-codon position. The record is from Rfam by way of RNAcentral. Lineage: Eukaryota; Metazoa; Arthropoda; Arachnida; Araneae; Eresidae.
GCCUUCUUGGUGUAAAGGUAGCACACUCGGCGUGUAUUCAAGAGGUCCAGGGUUCAAGUCCCGGCGAGGGCA